This 253-nucleotide ribosomal RNA is filed under the name uncultured bacterium. RNAcentral's name for it is "partial 16S ribosomal RNA". It matches the Rfam family "Bacterial small subunit ribosomal RNA", at positions 524 to 776 of the family's 1533-position model. The record is from RNAcentral.
UACGUAGGGUGCAAGCGUUAAUCGGAAUUACUGGGCGUAAAGCGUGCGCAGGCGGUUCGUUAAGUCAGAUGUGAAAGCCCCGGGCUCAACCUGGGAACUGCAUUUGAAACUGGCGGGCUUGAGUGUGGCAGAGGGGGGUGGAAUUCCGCGUGUAGCAGUGAAAUGCGUAGAGAUGCGGAGGAACACCGAUGGCGAAGGCAGCCCCCUGGGCCAACACUGACGCUCAGGCACGAAAGCGUGGGGAGCAAGCAGG